ACGUACAAGUCAGCAGAGGAGAACGAUUCUUCAGAACUGGACAAAACCCGGACUGCAAGGUGUGAGGGCCAGUGGGAAGGAGUGUUUCACCCAGAAGGGAGUAGGCCACGGAGUGAAGAAGGAAAGAAGGAACAGAAAGCCAGGGCUGGAUGCCAGACCCCAGAGAACCGGACCCUACAGGAAUGGACCUAGGUCUCCUUCUCAGACUGUGUGGAAAGGUAAGUGACCUGACUUCCUAGAUCUUUUUGAAUGUGGAGAAAUGGCCUGGGAAUAGCAGCUCUGCAUGGCAACCACGUAAGAAACAAGAUUUGGGAAUAAUUCCUAAGUGCCCUCUCUCUAGAACAGAGUGACAGACUGCACCUUGCCAGGUAUGCAGAGGGCACUCACCCAGUGUACGGCGACCCUAUGACCAUCCCAAAAUGGACUAGGAAUGACUUCAUAGUCCGCAUACUCUUUAAAAAUAAAGGUCUGUAUCGGAUGUGAUGGUGUUGCUGAAAACAGCUCAACAUGGGAGGUACUGCCCAGUAAAUGGACACAAAACACCACCAGUUACAUGCACC
Nycticebus coucang (slow loris) is the source of this 560-nucleotide long non-coding RNA. RefSeq lists it as uncharacterized. The transcript has 3 exons. The record is from RefSeq and is a predicted model, not a curated record. NCBI's taxonomy places the organism in Eukaryota, Metazoa, Chordata, Mammalia, Primates, Lorisidae.